CUCACAUAGUCACAAGGAAGUCCAGUCGGCCAUGGGGAGACCGAGAGCUACCACCACCGCAGCCUCUUCCAAGCCGAAGCCGAAGCCGAAGCCCAAGCCCAAGCCCAGGUCCAGGGCCAAGCCUAGGGCGACGCCCAGCCCCGUCUCCCUGCUCUCCGGCAUCUCCUCUCCUUACGCGUGCCGCACGCCGUCCCCUGCUGCCGCCGACCUCAGCUUCCUCUCGCCCUCCUCCCCGCCCGCGGAACCCGGAACCAGGAAUUCUUCGCCCCUCGCCGCCCCCACUACCAUGUCCACCAUCGGAGACCUGAGGAGCCUCGCCGCGUCGCACCUCGACUCCCUGAAGCGCCGCUUGGACGCGCUCCACGGCGACUAUGUCCGCGACCUUGAGGCCUCCCACUCCCGCAUCUCCAAGCGCGUCAAGAUGGAGUCCCAUGGCUGCCUGCAGCUAGCAGAGGAAGUGGACAAGGAACAGCAGAAGAUAGCCGACAAGAUCGCCGAGCGCGCCGAGCUGGUGAAGACCUCUUACAAGAAGUUCGUGGCUGAAGUGCAGGCGUCCACAUCCCGUGUGUGCAAGGUGACUGUCCCUGAGAUGACGAAGUCCAUGGAGAGGGCUAUUGAUGGCUUGCGCAGUCGCUACAUCUCCGCUAUACCAUCAGCUUAGCUGGUGCUGUUGUCCACAUCAAUUGAGGUCACAUGUUGAGUCUUAAAUCGGCUUCGCAGCAGGGACUUGCACAUUUGUACAUAAUAUCACCGUUGCAUGAGUACAUGAGAUAGUUCAUUGCUA
Zea mays is the source of this 784-nucleotide RNA transcript. It is a transcript of the gene named protein-like pseudogene, with no coding region annotated. The transcript has 5 exons. The record is from RefSeq and is marked validated. Lineage: Eukaryota; Viridiplantae; Streptophyta; Magnoliopsida; Poales; Poaceae.